AAGUCGUAACAAGGUUUCCGUAGGUGAACCUGCGGAAGGAUCAUUAACACGUAUCCAACGUUAAACCCCCCGUGAACCUUCAGUGCGCUCGCACUUUCUUAGAAAAGGUAGCAAUCCCUGGUAAAUCAUUGCCGAACAGUUUUGAUUCAGGGACUUCGGCCGGCGACCGGGUCACUGGGCGCGAGCCCCCCUCGUCACCUUUGCAUGAAAACGGGCCUGCGCUUAAUUGUGCGGCCACCAAACUCGAACAACUGUUAACAAUGGAUAUCUUGGUUCUC
Molecule: unclassified non-coding RNA, 278 nt
Filed under: fungal sp.
Lineage: Eukaryota; Fungi
Description: partial internal transcribed spacer region
Rfam family: Eukaryotic small subunit ribosomal RNA (bases 1-46)
Source: RNAcentral